Molecule: long non-coding RNA, 4488 nt
Organism: Vespula vulgaris
Lineage: Eukaryota; Metazoa; Arthropoda; Insecta; Hymenoptera; Vespidae
Exons: 6
Source: RefSeq, a predicted model, not a curated record
UCCAAGCGGUGAGACCCGGGCAAUCGAUAUUAUUUGCGAUUAAAUAACUAUUGUAAAACAAUGUAACGCAAAUACUAUCGAGCUAAUGGCUGCCUAAAUGGAAUCAAAAUUUUCAUAUUCAAUUAUUGGUUUAUUUUAGUGCUUUUGGCUUUACUUUCUAAUGAUUAAAUAAUAAAUUUAUCCAAAUAUUGAAUAUUUUUUUAAGAUGAUAUUUUUAAAUAUAGAAUUCAUAAAAAUCAUUUAUAAUAUACGUCGACGUUAUCAUUAUUUGUCAACGCUGAAAGUUUUUAAUGGAAAAGAUCACUUAUCCUUUAUGUUGUCGGUCUUUUACAAUUUACAAGGUCGUAAAGAUAAAAUUGCAUGGUGAAAAGCACUUUGUGAAAAUCAAGAAUAAGAUCUUGUAAACGUGAUUUUGAUGGAAUACGAAUAUCAAUGAUUUUUGAAUGAUCCGAUGAAUGAUCCUUUCAUCUUUAGAAAUUUGUUCGUGCACUCUUGAGAACACUAUAGCCAACGGACAUUACUUACGUAUUAAAAAGACGGACUUGUGAUAUUGCGUAAACGUUUAUGCGUACAAGCAGAGAAAGAGAGAGAGAAGGAUAGAUAGAGAGAGAGAGAGAGAGAGAGAGAAUGAGUGAGUGGGCGUACACAGCGGCGAUGAAACGCGAGAAGCUCGACGCAAUUUGCGUGGCGAUAUAUAUCGACCUCGUCUGGUUAUAUCGUUUCGUAAAAAAGAUCUCUCGUAGUUAACUGGCAGAUAAUUUCAUGGCAAUUUCAGCGGUUACUUCGUACCGCCACCCUUUCUCUCUCUCUCUCCCCCCUAUCUCUUUCAUGCUUUCUUCGUUUUCUCAGUCCCUCUCACUUUCUCAUACACCCACUAAUCGAGCUCGUUUACCUUCUACAAGCAUUCACGCACCUUCAUUUUUCUCUUACUUGUAGAUUGUAAGGAACGUUUUAUUCUCACGUGAUAUGUAGUACAAGUAUGUAUUUAAAUCAGAAGUUUUAUGAUCUAGAUUAGAACAAAUUCUUUUUAAGAAAUCUCAAAAAAAUUCUGUUCAUUUUAUUUGAUGUGUUAAAUCUUUUAUAUUUAUUAUAUAAAUUUAUACGUAUAGAAAGAGAGAGAAAGAGAGGGAAAGAAAAAAUUUGCUAUCGACAAAACAUGUGAGAGAAGGUAUUCAAAUUGCCUGAAGCUUCGAUAUAUAUCUCUUAGUGGAAAUUCAUUUUGAAAUACUAAGAAACAUACGUCUCACUUGACGAGUUUCGAUGAAGUCGGCAUGGAAAUGAGUCUCUCGGUCGUUCGCCUUCAUCGAUCAUCAUUAUCACCUGUUAGCGAUCAUUACACACCGUUCUCGUUACCAAAUUAUCUGAUGAACUAUAGAAAAUAGAAGAAAUCAUUUAGUUCUUUUUUCCUAUUUUUUUUUUCUUAAAUUAUGUUUCUUUCGUUAACUGUAAGUGUUUGGAUAGAAAUAAUUAUUUAGAUCAGUUUUUAUUUAUUUCGAUUGCGAAUGUUUUAGAAAUUAUUUUGAUGGAAAAUUUCAAUGUUCGCAUCUUAAUGGGUUCCUGUAAAUUAAUAGCUUAUAAAACAAGACCAUGGUCUGUUUCAAGUUGGCAGAUUCAUAGAAUCUUCUUCGUAUGUAAUCGUUUAUUUUAUUUACGGAUUUCUCUUCUCUAUCAUGAAUUCUUCUAUUUCGAGUAGUCAAGUACUCCCUGGCGCCUGGUACUGAUCCCUCCGGCAACGGCAAAUUUAUUUUUCGAUACUCGAGUGGUCGACUGACGUUUGCGAGGAAGAAAAAAAGAAAAGGAAGAAAAAGAAAAAGAAAAAGAAAAAGAAAAGAAAAGAAAAGAAAACGAAAGAAAAUGUUUGCUGGUCUCGAUGGCAAAACGAAACCAGAUUGCGUUUCGUCUGUCGAUAAAUUCUUUUUUAUAUUCUCACCAUCACGUACGAGAAAAAUAAUUACGUGUAGAGUUAUAUAGACAGGAGCUAUUUGAAACCAUAUUUUUAUCAAAUUCGUCGAAUAUUCGUCAAGUUAUUUUUCAAGCAGGAAAACUUCCGGUUCGUCGACCUUUCUUUUUUUUCUUUUUUUUAACACGACAGAACGUUACGUGACUUGGCAAAUAAGAAUGAAAAAGGAAGGAGAAAAGAGAAUUGCGUUGAAACAUGCGAUUAAUGGUGCCAAUUCAAUUAUCAGAGACGACGAGCUUGCCAGCUCGUAAAUCGUUUUCGCUCGUCGGACUCGUCAUUCUUGAAGAAGGUGUUCGAGAAACGAUCCUACAACGGUGUGAUCAUCGCAGUGAGAGAAAGAAAAAGAAAAAAGAAGAAGAAAAAGAGAAGAAAAGAAAAGAAAAGAAAAGAAGGAAGGAAAAGUAUAACAUAUUUUACGAUCGACUCUGACAAACGAGUUGAGGACCCCUGUCGAGGAAGACUUCCUCUUGAACGCCCAUGCCCUACGCCCACGUAUCCAGACUCGAGGUAUCGCAAACGAGUCGUUAAAAUCUCAUUGAACUCUUUGUCUCGUUGGAUCAAAGAGUUCAAUGGGAAUUAGAAGCUUAGAGAGAGAAGAGAGAGAGAAAGAAAGAAAAUGGAGCGCGUUUCUUGUCCAAAAAAUUUACAAAUGUAAUAGUAUAGUAAUAUUAUUACAAUUUGUAAUAAUUUUAUUUAUGUUAUAAUUUAAAAUAAUUUAAUGAAUUCAUUGAAAAAAUUGUUAUCAUUUUUUUUUUACUAGUAAGCAUUUUUGAAGGACGAUCUAAAAUUUGUAGAUAUUACGAUCGAAUGUUAAUACAGACUUUGUUCUCGUGAAAGCGUAAAUAUCUCAUGCUAAUCUCUCUCUCUCUCUUUCUCUACUCGGAUUCCUUCUUCUAUCUUGUUCGCAAUUCGUGGAGGGAAACACGAAGACGAAGACGAAGACGGAGACUUCGGGAGACUCUUAACUCAUGGAUGUAAGGAUCGUGGGAUAGAAGAGCUCGAAUAAAGCUUGUCACAUGUCACCUGCGAAAGGGAUACUUGUAGGAUUCUUACUAUGGAUGGAUAAUUAACGAUAGUGUUAGACAAGAUUUAUGGCAAAAUAUAUUCGUUAACAUUUUUUAUGGGAUUUAUAUGAAGAUAUGAAGAGGAAUUGCAAUAUAGAUUAUUAAGCAAAUUAUAAAUAUAAAAAGAUAUUUCAAGAGAUAAUCUUUCUUCUCUCUUGGUCGAUAAAGAUCGAAGGAAGCGAUACGCAGGCGAUAGGUUUUGACAGAAAGGCAAAGUAAGAUCAUCGAUCCAGCAGACGCAGGCGCAAACAGGUUGCUGUGGUUGAGAGCGCGCCAGGGGAAGAUCGUGAAAGCACGAACAGGUUCGCAGGAGGUUCCAGAGAAGAGUGAGCACGCCCGCGAACAGGUUCGAGUAACGUCCUCUCGUGAGUAUAUAGGAACAAAAGAUAAUAGCUCGCGCAUACUCGGACCAAGCGAAUGUAUUCUCGAGUAUCAAGUCAAAAUGAUGAUGAUGGGUUUGAACGACGUCGACGCCUCGAAGCUAAAGAGAGAAGAAAAGGAGAUGAGUUUCAGAUAUAUGUGCAAUGAGAAAAAGAAAUAAAGAGAACGAGAAAGAGAGAGAGAGAGAGAUGACAGAUUAUACAAUAUUGCCAGCUAACAUCAGAGCUAAGUUCCCGGAAGCAUGAGGUCAUCUCUGGCGAGCUAACAACUUCCUCCUAACUCCAAAAUGAAGAUGCUUUCUCUUGGGAACCAAAACGAGCGAUUGCGAUUCGACGUUUCCAAGAGAAACAAUCUACGUUGAGGCCUGAAAAAUCAACUGUUACCAAGAGUGCCUCGUUCGACUGGACAGGAGCAUCCAUUAAAAAUUAUGAGAAUACGAGCUCGUUAUCAUCGUAUUAAUAAUAAUUCAUCGGAAGAGAAAUAACGUUGAGAUUGACCGGAGAUUGACGGGGGAAGAAUAAUAUACAAGACAAAGGAGUCCCAUAUGAAGGCACACGCACGGAAGUCAACUGUCCAUGGACGACAAAUCGUUUAACUCCAAUAUGACUCACGCUACGCUUCGUUGGACAAUAUAAUUAUUCUUAGAGUUAAUCAAAGCAGUUUGAAAUCUUAUCAGAAGGAUGGGAACACUUGGAAAUCAUCGGACCUUCAUCUUUAGAACCAUAGAAUACAGAAUUAUUAUCAAGAGGAUAUGAAACAAUAGGAAAUCAUGUAUAUCAUAAGAAAAUACAUUUAUUUGUAAAAUGUAACUGCGAAAAAGUGAGAAUGACAGAGAGAGAGAGAGAGAGAGAGAGAGAGAGAGAGAGAGAGAGAGAGAGAGAAAUUUUAUUACAGUUAUACUUAAUGGCAAAUUGUAUUGUAUAGCAUUACCAUUAAAUUAUUUAUAAAACUUUGCAUUAUAAACACAUUGUAUUAUAUUAUGUUAUAGCGCAAUUUUACAUGGUUCAGAGCGACUAAUUUUAUAAUUAUUGAAUAUAACGUAAUUCUCAUGAAAAAAAUGAAAAUGAAAAUAAACCCCAUUAA